RNAcentral lists this ribosomal RNA (292 nucleotides) under uncultured microorganism. RNAcentral describes it as "partial 16S ribosomal RNA". It matches the Rfam family "Bacterial small subunit ribosomal RNA", at positions 505 to 796 of the family's 1533-position model. The record is from RNAcentral.
GUGCCAGCAGCCGCGGUGAUACGUAGGGUGCGAGCGUUGUCCGGAUUUAUUGGGCGUAAAGGGCUCGUAGGUGGUUGAUCGCGUCGGAAGUGUAAUCUUGGGGCUUAACCCUGAGCGUGCUUUCGAUACGGGUUGACUUGAGGAAGGUAGGGGAGAAUGGAAUUCCUGGUGGAGCGGUGGAAUGCGCAGAUAUCAGGAGGAACACCAGUGGCGAAGGCGGNUCUCUGGGCCUUUCCUGACGCUGAGGAGCGAAAGCGUGGGGAGCGAACAGGCUUAGAUACCCUGGUAGUCC